AGACCGGUUUAUGUUAAAAAAUUACAAUAUAAAAAUUCAUUGUUUAAAAAGUUUAAAAACUUAUACCAUUUUACAAUUUUAUUUUAAUAGUAAAGGUAUAUAUACCUAUAAUAUAAACUAAUACACCAUCAAAAUAAAUAAAAAAAAUCGUGCAUAUUUUUUCAAAUUCCUUGUAAUCCUUGAAAAAGUUGUCCAAUUUUAUUACAUUUUGACAUGUCAAAGGCAAGAUGGAAUAGAAAUAGAACUCUAUAAACAUAAAGCUGUACUUAUGUAAAUAAAAAAAAAAAAAACACGUCAAUAGAUCCCACAGCUAAAGGCAAGUGCACAACAAUGCGGUCCCACCAAAAAGGAAGGUUGCAGUAUUCUUGUGGUCUGUGGUUCUGCGGUCACAUAUCUGCUGCACUUUGCUCACAAGUUAUUACUUCGGCGCCAAUGCGGAAGGCAUCAACCGUUUAAGGGUCGGUGUGCCAUUCUUCUCGUUAGUUGUAAACGUGGCUCGGGCCUACCAUAGCUAAUCUUCCUCGCAUUUCAAUUCUGGGCAGGUUACAGUCUGCUUUUUGUUCAUUUGUUACGAUGUUGCGAUUGACGGAUGCGCUCCUUGAUUAUGUUAAUAUAUUUUUUAAGGAUAAUACUUGUAUUAAUUUAUUCAGUGUCAGAUUUACAAGUAGUGCCAUAUUUAGACUUAUUUAAGAAAUGCAUUCUUAUAUAGAAUUGAUAUAGAAUGGGUCACCCUUUUCUUUCUCAUGGGUGUCGUAAGACGCGGCUUAAAGAACUUAAUGGUCGAGGUGUCGGUAGUAGCGUUCCUUGCAAAACAUUAUCAAAGCCUAACUGUGGUUGCCAAUCCGCCUGCCAAGCGUAGUAACUACUGACAAAACUUCCCUUAAGGGAAGGUCUAUGUUCAGCAGUGGAUAGUAUGUCUAGGAUAGUGAAAACUCGGAAUAAAACAUUAUAACUAGCCAUCUAGCCAGCGCGGUAAGGUUAGGCUAAUAGUUUCUUAUGGAUAGGACUAGUUUCACAGUGAGAUCAUGGGUUCGUGAAUUACCUGAAUCAUCUACUUUGAAAUAAAAAAUAUUACAAGUGUGGACACACAGCACCCUAAUUGCUGUUAAUUCAUUCCAGAAAAUAUAAAAAUCUUCCUGGUUGACGUAAAUAAAGCCAAGUUUCCAAUAAAAACUAGUGUAGCACGUAGAAUAUUAAAAAGAGAUAACUUGGCAACAAUAUAGCAAUCCAGUUAUUCAUUAUCGCAAACUAUCGUCUCAGCUUUACGAUACAUACGUCACCUACGUAUCACCUUAGAAAAAACGAAAACCCUAUUUGAAAGUCACACCAAGAAAAAGUAGUGGAACAAGCGAACUAAACGCUAACGAGCUGUGCUGCUUAGCACUUCCCAGCGCUUUUUAUGCUGACUGUUCACUUUGAGUAAUAGGAGGUUUUAUGUCCCAGUCUCAUUUCACUAGAAUUCAGUAUUGGAAAAUAAAGUGGCAAUGAAAAUUUCUAUCUGGACGUUCGUGCGAGCGAAGUGUUUUUUGUUAAAGUAGACACCGACUCCAUUUGUUUUAUUUAGCUCUAAAAUAAUCAUAAAAUACAGAUAUAGAGUAACUAGAAUGUGUAUUCAAAAUACUAUUAAUAUUAUUAACGUACGUUUUACGUUCGUUAAUAAUAUUUACGUUAUGCGUACGUUUGCCGGUGCAGGGUUGAUAUUCGAGAAUCUUUCUUCCUCAUCAGUUGUCAGUUCUUCGAGCUAUGUGCCUUGCCAAUUGCUACUUCAGUUUGCUUAUCCUUUUGUAAUAAAUAUAGUAUAAGAGUAAAUUCUUUAAAUUAAGUGUGCAAUGCCGUUGCUCCCGAUAGUUGGAAGGCGCGUCGGCUGGCACCGGGGCGCUGGUAUGCCCGGACGUGAACUUAUCCCACCUAGCACGGCACCUUGCACACAACAGGUAUACAGAGCACCGAUUUAAAUGAUCCUCAGUCGCCGACGCAGGCGGUGACUGUCGAUAUCGGAGGAUCAGAUGCGUGAGCACUACUAUAUCGACGAGUUCGACGACACGACGGCACGAAAAACACGACAAAUCCCGAUGACACGACGACUCGACGAUGACGAUGGCUAUUACUUCAAUUAUUCUAUUAACUAUUUUAAAACUGUAUACUAUCACUAUUUACUCUAUAAUCGGGAGGUCGUCCGGAACAUUAAGAAAGUACUUAUAAAAAUCGAGUCCGAAGUGGUAAUGUGUUCAUUAACAUAAUAUAUUAUAUUUAAAACUAUACGCAUUCGAAGUCAAUUGGAGAACCAAAAAUUGUAUAUAAUCUCGUGAUAGUAAGAUCAAUUAGUUUAACCAGUCAUGAGAACCUCGCCUCUAGAACACAUCCAGUAUUAAUUUUACAGCUACGAUCGUAACAAUAAAAUGGUCGUAUUGCCGCUCCCCGCUAGAUGUCACCAUUGGUAUCUUGCUCAAAGUAGGGAUCUACUUUGUAGAGAAAGUGUUUUAUCACUGAAUUAAAAUGUAAUCUUUUGUAACAGAGUUUCAUUUGAUCUCUUACCUUUUAUUGUGCGCUUUCGGCUUUUAUGGGAUAAACUGACAGUUCUGUUACGCUUGUGUGGGAUGAAAGUCGACGGUAUUGUUGCCAGUCCAUGGCCUUGUAUUGUACUUUCGACAUUCGAAUGCUUUCGACUUUACCAUAGAUAAAAGCGUUUAAACCUGAUAGUUAAUUUUAAAUCAUUAUUAAAAUAUAUAUUAGUAUUUUAUUAAAGCUUUUUUAUUAUCUUUUUAUGGCCCUUUCUGUUUUUAUAUAUCUUAAAGCAAUAAAAUAAGCCAAUAAACCACAAUGUUAUUAAUACGUUUCUAUGAAUAUUUCACUUAAAGAUAGUAUUAUGGACUAAUUCGUAUGUAAACGACAUACGUAAAUUGGUGUUCGCUAUAAAUCGUUGCAAAUCCGCGGCGGGUUGUAAUCUCACAAUAAAUUGAAUAUCUAGGAUAAGUCUCGUGUCUAGUAUAUCGGCUGCGCAAAUAGACAAUUUAUGCAUAGACGUUAUUCCUGACUCACGCGUGCUAUUCGGACAUCGAGCGGUAAUAGAUAUGAACAAUGUGUAAUUUGUUACAAAUGUGAUAUUUGUUUUAAAUAUGUCAUUCGUUUUAAAUGUGUCAUUUAUUUCUAAUGUGUCAUUUGUUUUAAGUAUCUGAUCAUAGUGAUGGUAAACUACCAUGGGCUUGACUUUUCGUCCGGUUUACGACUAUUUUAAGUUUAAUAUUUAUAUCUACUUCGAAUCGUAUUCAUAGCUGGUUUCUUAGUCUGUUUUAGUACAAGCUUGAUCAGAACUAAGUAACCGUAAAUCUUGCAGGCUUAAUAGCGGUGUAACACGCCAACAAAGUUCCUUAUACUGAGAUUUUAUUAUAUAUAAUAUUUCUUAAAGAAAUGGUUUUGACAUUGACGGCCCAUUGUAAGUGCUACUGGUCUGUCAAAUACAGCUUUGGUAAUUUUCUGCGAAUUUCCAUGAUGUUAUUUAGAUAUUUACUUGUACAUUGUCAGCGUAAAUGAUAGCAAAUGUACGUAAACGUAAAAUGUUUCUCAGUUUCAGACUUAGAACGUUGCGCUACUAAUAUACAAUGUAACACAAUACUAUGAAAUGUUGUGUAUUACAAAUGGUGGCAAAGAUUCAAGUAUCAAAUUUCUUUUUUAGGCACGAUAUAAUUAGUAACAAACAUUUAAACAUCCUAUGUUUAGCAAUAGCUGAGAUUGAUUGUAAUUGAGAUUGAUGAUGAUUUGAACAUCCAAACAUCAAUAUAAAUUUUAACUUUUAAUAGUAUAUUUGCUGAUCCAACAGACGUUGUACUAUUCAAUUUCCAUUUUUUCUUUCGCUGUAAUUCUCAAUAAAAUAAAAAUAUAAAAAAAAAUUAGCUAAAUCCAACUAUUUUAAAGUGAUGUACUUACCAACGAUCAGCAUUUGAUUUUUAUUUAUAUACUUACACUCAACAUUCGAGCACACCAACAUCAACAACGGUUUAUCUACUACUAGCUUUUUCCCGCAACUUCGUCCGUGUGACCAUGACAUGUUUAAUUACUUGGAUAAAAAGUAGCAUAUAUAAUUUUCCAUCCCACCUAGUACGUACGUGUACACUAAAUUUUAUAAUGAUUAGUUAAGGAUCUAUAAAGUAAAAAAACAAACAUACAAACUCACUUCCACAUAAUAUUGGUAAGGAUAUUAGCCCCCCUAUAUGUAUGAGUAUAUAGUUACUAGCUUUUGCCCGUGACUUCGUAUGCGUGGACUUUAGAAGUAUUACUCCCUUAAUGCUUGAAUUUUUAAUAUUUCAUUCUUAUUGUUUACCCACACCCACAUUAAAAGACCCUCUCUACCAAAUUUCAAGAUUCUAGAUUCAGCAGUUUUGGCUGUACGUUGAUAUAUGAGUCAUUCAGUUCAGAGAGGAUAGGGAGUGAAAUUAAUAACGCAGUCGAAACUGUCUCUCUGUCCGAAAUCGAUCAGGAUUCAUAAUAUCAUAUCAUAUAUAUGUAUAUACUUGUAAUAUGGAUUAUAAAAUAUUAAUGUAGUAUAACUUUCAGUGCAUCACUAGCUUUCUCCUAAGUGCUACAUUAUCGAUCUGUGUGAGUUUGACUCUCUAGUAACACUAUGCACAAAGUAAUUAAUCCACUUCGGCACGGUUACACCCCCCUCGAUUAAUUAGAGUAAAAGUCAAACUGGUCGUAGAAAUCCCUCGCCGCGCCCUUGCAUUUAAUCUUUCUUAUCUAAGUCUAAUAUUAGAUAAAAAAAAAAAAAAAAAAAACUAUGUUAUCUUAUAAAGUUUCAAUGAGACAUCUUAUUGAAUAAAGGAGUAGAUAAAGAUAUGAUUUAUUUAAUAUUAUAUAAUUCGUAGUAAAUAAAUACUCUUCACUUCUCAAACGUUGACCGUUGAAUCAACACUUUUUUGUUACUGACUUUUUUAUUUUAUUUUUUUUAUUUGUGACUAAUCGGUUUUUAUCUAUGGUAGCAAAUAAAAAAAAAUCAUAUAGAUAUAGCUCAUUCCAAUAAUUUUAUAAUCAUUUUUUUGAUCCUUCCAGUCAAUAAAGAAUGCCUUAAGCUUAUCUUUUAAAGCAUAUUAUAUGAUAAGCAGUAUAAUUCUAAAGAAAAUAAUUAAAGUUUAAUUAAAAAGAAGUGGAAUAGGACAUGUGAAUCACAUGCCAACUGUGCCAAGCAAUGGGUGUGUAAAAAUCUGUAGGUAUACUUGGUUCCUAAGAGAAGUCGUGGAAGAACUCGUACACGAUGAAGAUAUAACCUCAACCUGUUACACAAAGACUGGUACGCCCUGACCAGCAACCGUGGGAGAUGGUAACAGUUAGCGGCACCUUUGUCCAGCAGUGUAAUAUCACAGGCUAUGACUGAGUGAUUUAAAAAUAAGUAAAAAAAUUUAGGAAGGUAGUUAAGUAUUUGUCUUGGAUGUUGACUGUGGAUGCGAUUAAGGGAACUUAAUGGUCUAGGGAUAGGCAGCAGUGGCCCUUUUUAAACGUCAACAAAGCCUAACCGCGGUUGCUAACCCGCCUACCAAGCGUGGCAACUACGCACAAAACUCUCCCAAUAGGAGGAGAUCUACAUUCAUCAGUGGACAGUUAACGGCUGAUAUGACGACGAUGAUGAUAAGGUAAAUAUUAUGUUAAAUGCAGGAAUGUGACAAAAAUUGCUGAUAAAGUAAACCGUGUUAUUACUAGAAGAAGUACUGCAGCACUACCUUAAUGCAGCUUGUAACACAUUCAAUAACUCAAUGAAUGUCUCGUUAACAUAAAUGUGCAUCUAAACGUUGCUUUCCCGUAGUAAAGAUUACAGAAUUACGCAUUCAAGAAAGCUGUUAAGAGCUCGCCUCUUUGUACUAAAGAGAUGUAGCAAUAUUCUAAAGAGAAAAUAUUAUAUGUUUAUUUAAAUAAUGUUAACUAUUCACCAACUCUGUACAGCGUUUUUUUUACUUUUAAUUUAUUUAUGUAUCUGUAUAAAAUUUUAAUUUUUUACAGAUACAUAAAUAAAUUAAUUUUUUUUUAACAAUAGAUGGCUUUGUAAAUUCAUUAUUUUACCCUUUGAAGUGUAGAUUUAUUAAAUAAUUUCCAAUAACAUGGAUUUCACCCCCAUACUUUAGAGCCUGGAUGGUCGUGUACAGCGCGGUUUCAGAGAUGUUUCCUCCCACAAAUGCUCAGAUUCAUCAGGUCAGAUCAGGUUUUUCCAAGAGACUACAACAUGAGGGUCUGCGAAAAGGUAUACAGAGGUUCCUUCAGGAUCAGUAACGUACGCCCUGGUAUUGUUUGCCACCUCAGUGAUAUAAAAAAAAUCUUUAAUAUUAAUCCACCCAUAGCCUGAGAUAUAUGCUAAUGUACCCUGGUGUUAUAAGAAGGCGACCAAGAAUCGAACGCGAUACUUUAUUUACAAAAAGCAACACCCAUAUCACUGCGCAAAAUAAACACUAAAAUAUAUAUUUUACAAAACAUAUAGAAUUAACUAUAACCUUAUAAACUAGGCAAGGAGAGAGUUACAAGUUGUAGUUUCGUGAUGGCUGUAUAAAUGUCAUUUAUUAGUUUUCAAUUUUAAAUGAAAUCUCAAAAGAGUACAAAGUCGUUCGUUUGACACCGUCUGGAUUCCACCGCGAUGAUUGAUCGAUGCGCUUGAAUUAAGCCAAUUAUUGGGAAAAUCUUGUUAUCUGAAAGUUUGUUCGUAGCCCGUAUAGAAAGUCAGUUAUGUAGAAUAGCGUCGAUUAUGCUCUAGGUGCAGGAAUCCAGUGUCGAUGUCGUUGGGCAUCCGUCUACAAAUCACUUACUUUAAUUGAGUACAGAGUACUGAAUGUUGGUGACUCGCGCGCAGAGCACGCGAUAGUACUAGAUACGGCAAUAGGCAAUGCAAGUCAGGCCUCAUGGUAAAUUGUCAACGAUUUAGUGAAAUUACUAGGUAACUCUAGACACCAUCGACGUCAACGUUUCACCAGAGAGAUAAUACAGGAAAGAAAAGAUAUGUAAUCUUUUUGAUAUUUAUUUUUCUAUAUUUCUUUUUUAUCGUUAAUAAGGUAAACGAGCAGAUGGAAAUGCUUGAUGAAUAGCAACUACCGUCGUCCUUAAACGUCUGCAAUACAAAAGGAGUUGCUUGCGCGUUGCCGGCCUUUAAAAUUAAUAAUAAAUAAAUAAUAUUUAGAAUAACAACAACCUUAAACGUAGUAAUUACUAAAUGGUUUAAAAUUUAGAUAUCCUAAGUCAAUAACAGUUAACCACACAUAUUACAAGUGGGUAUUAAAAUUAGUUGGCACAGAUAAUCUUCAGAGCGAGGUGUUGUAAAAAAAGAAAAGAAAAUGUUAAGUGUUUAAAUAAAAUAUAUUGAUGAGUAAAGAAAUGUGUGCAUAUGUAUGUAUAUGUAUAUGAGUAUCAGUGUGUGAUUGUGUUGUCUACAUAAAAUAGUCAUAGGAAAUAUGAUUAUCAUUUCAUUUUUUAGAAAAAAAAGUUAGGUACUUUUUAACGCAAUUGUGAUUAAAGCAAACAAUGGGCGAGGUUUCAAUCCUCACCUUUGAUAGAAUUCGGCCCCUUCUAUCAGUUAGGUAAAUGGACUACCGUUUCAUUAGAUACACGUCUCGGAAUUUUCACACAUGGCGCCACUUCGGGAACACAUUACUUAAUCUACCCGCGACAGUUAGACUAUCCAAUGAACCACAAUAACCAGUUUCAACUCGUAACUUGUAUGACGAUGACAAACGGGUUUCAAAUUCCGUGCGUUUCAAAUGUUUUCAAUUCUUAAAAAAAUAUAUUUUAUUUUUAUAAACACUUGGACAAUAUUAUAUUUGCAUUUCAUAAUUUAAGUGUCUAGUUUUUAAAAUUUCCUCAGUAUGUGCCAUUGUAAGAGAAAAAGUUAAAAUAUUAAGUUAUUGUUAAUUUUGGGAGGCCUCCAGUAAGCAGUAGUUUAAUUGGUAAAAACAAAGCCUCGGCAUGACGUGAAAGGUGCGAGUCCAAGUUCCGUCCAAUUAAAAUUUUUUUAAUCACUCAACAAUUAUUGGUAUAUGAUUUUCAUAUUUUACAUUCAUAAUUUCUUUACAUAUUUAAUUUCUUUGUACGUGUGAUUUUCCUUACAAUAUCUAUCAGACGAAAAUCUUUAACAAAAACCGACUCAAUCAAUUAGGAUUACGAUAUGUUAUCAUCGUAUAUUUAUAAAAAAAAUAACACGUUAUCGUACUUACAUUUUUUCUUAGAAUAAAAUUGUUAUGCUUGUGCUCCUUGAACCUCCUUUAUUUCGCUUCCUAACCCUGGAUGUCGAAUCGUGACCACGACGAGAACAAAGGUAUCCUAUGUAGGAGGAAUAUUACUUUGACAUCCAAAGAACAUCAUUUGUUUACGUGAAUAAGCUGGCAUAAGCACCGGAGUGUUAAGAAUGAGUGAGAACUGUGCUUCCAUUAAGUGUAAAACAGUCAUUACAUUCAAUCAAUCUGGACGUAGCCGUAAUGUACCGUGCAGGUCGCAUGACCUCAGUUCUAAGUCGGAAGAAAGUUACUUCACGCUUCAUAUUUCCAAUGACAUUAGUGAGAAAUUUGUAUAUGUAACUUGGAUGUUUCGGUUGUAAUCAAUUUUGCAUAGAAACUAUGUAACAUGUUACGUUAUAUUUGUAAAUAAUUUUAAUAUUAUUAAUAUGUUUCAAUUUUAAGUAUAUUAUUACUAUUAAAAUAGAAUAUGUAUCUACUUAUAUGCAGGUGGCUCAGGACCGUUCCUUAAGGCAAUCUAUGGGGGAGGCUUAUGUUUUUUUUUAAUAGAUGAUAAUGGAAUGCACUAAUGGUUAUACACUAACAGGGCACUAGUGAAGGAUGAUAGGCGAGGAUGCAAAGGCAGGUCAGUUAGCUCAUCGUGACGAAUUCAACGAUAAAUUAGUCACAAUCGUUUCCAGGGAGAACCGCGUGGAGGUCGACCUAAUAAGGUACAUUGAUAGCAGUGGGGACUAACCUCCCUAUUACUAACAAUCCCUUCACUCCUGGAAGGAACUGAUCACCGAUGGGGAAGAAAGAUUCUUGAAUGGUGACCCUGUACGGGCAAACGCAGUAUAGGACGACCCUUCACUAGGUGAAGUGACGACCUCAAAUGCAUUGAAGAGCGUCAGUGGAUGCAGGUGUCACAGGACUGUUCCGUUUAUGGGAGAGACCUAUGUUCACCAGUGGAUAGAUAACGUCUGAUAUGAAGUUAAUGUACUUACCUACUUACGAAACAAUAAAUAAUACACGUUCCAGGAUGCAACGACUUCCAUCAUUGUAGUGAGGGACAAGAGACAAGGCGACGUUUCGCUGCGUAGGCGCAGUUUACGGUCGCAGUAUAUAGUUGGCUAUUUGUGAACAUUGCAACGUUAUACCCGGUAAUGAUGCUUAAACCGAGCUAUACGCUUCGCAACAAGGUUAUGGAAACAAUAAGAUUAUUGGAAAGCGAUCAAUCAAUUUGUUUUAAAUAGAUAUAUUGAAUUUGGGAAAAUACUCUUAAUUUAUUUAAUAUAAAUUAAUGAUAAUUUAUUGUACUUAUAAUACAAACGUUAAAUUCCCAGAUUUAUUUAAUUAUUUAUCUAUAUUCCGCAGGUUUGUUCGCUUAAAUAAUGAUUUUCACCAUUAUCACGCCGCAGCGUUAGCUAAAAUGUACAUUCAAAUUAUGAUUCAUGUGUAAACAAAACUUUACUCAAAUUAUACCAACCAUUUUGUCGUGUUUGAGUAGCAAAAAAUCUUUGACUACCCCAUUAGGUAUUACGACUGUGAAAAUAUAUUUUUUGUACAGAGAGCGGCUCCAAACUUUAGCUGAGUGUUGGUGAUUACUUCGUUAAAAUAUUGCCUUCGCAAGUCUGCUAAUUAGUGUGUAUUUAAUUACGGUACACCUUUGUAACUAAGGUACAAGAGUUGCCGUAAUGGGCCGUUUAUACAUGCUGAAAUCGAAAUUGUUAGCAACUUUCUAAGGAAGUCGUCUACCAGUGAACCUGAAUAUUGUUUACGAAUAAAAAUGGGUCAAAAUAACAAAAACAAAUUGAUAUUCCAAUACUAAUUUGAUAGCUGGACGCACCAUAUUGGUAUAGAAGACUUCAAGUUUUUUUUAGUUUUUGGCCCCUGUUUUUUUUUUAUAGUUUAUUUUAAUAGAACUUAAUAAAAUUGUCUAUGCUUCAUAUUUCUAUGUCAAUGACAAUUUACGAGGCUCUCCCGCCAGUUUUGCAUGUCAAUCACUUUAUUUAUUAUUCUUGUCUUUGGUCGAAUUGGUAUCAUCUUUUUUUACUUUGUCAUGUCUGCAACUAAUGAAUAAAGUAAUAAUUUGAUUAAUCAUAUUUAUUUUUACAAAUUAAUAAUUUCAAAGUGAUCGUUUUGGCGACCGUGACAGAAAUGCUAACCAAGUAUUGUUGAAAUUAUAAUAGAAACAUUUUUUAAAUAAAAUUAGUUACAAAAUGAAACAUUAAAUCAAUUUAUUGUUAUUUUUUUAUUGAUACUAACAUUUGGACAGUUGGACAUCAGUUGUUUUAUGGUAGGCUCAUUUAAAUUCUGUUUCAAAAUAAUUUAAUGAGAAUGUAAACAAAUGAAUUGUUUACAUUUUUAUUGAGUUUUAUUGAAGAAGACUAUAAAAUACUUUUUAAUUUCACUUGUAGGACACUACCAUAAAUGGUUUUGAAUGCAACUUUCAGCAUAUUAUGGUUAUAUUUUUAUCGCAUAUUAAUUGUCGAUAAGCGCUCUCGUAACCAAUACAGACGCCGGCCUGUUAUGGAUUGGACUCGAGUUUUAUGAGUAUCUAUGAAGCUAAUAUUAUUAUUAGCCUAUUAUUAACUGUUUACUAAUAAAUAUUAAAAUUGCAUAUUACAUGUGUAUGUGUAUGUGUAUGGCCCAUUAACGCAUGUAGACAUCACAAUUCCGUGUCGAAAUGCAAUACCCGAUACGACCAUAUUCGUUAGCGAAAGUUGAUUCUGGAAGCGAAUUUCGCUAUAUUUGUAUUAAGACAGAGCCUCAUAAAGUUUAUAUCGACAAAUGUAUGAAACACGUUCGUCGAUAAUCCGGUCGGAGAUACGGUGAAAUUACGUCGAGAUUGUAUCUUGGUAGUAAUACUGUAAUUUCAUGGCUAAUAUGAGAUUGUUUGAAACUUGUAUGAGUUUAUACUGUUCAUGACUUUAUUGAAUAUGCCGAAAUUCGAUAUUUUUGUUUCUUUCUUAUGAAUGGUUAUAACAAGAAUUAUAAAUAAUAAUAUAUAUGAACGCGGUAUUGAAUACGUGAUUUUUAUUUUUAUUAAUACAGUAGUCAGCAGGUGCAGUUAUUAUCAAAUUGGAAAUAUUUUUAUUUAUGAAAAAAUUUAUUUUUUAAAAGGAAUUUUAGAGACAGUAUGUUUUUUGAUAUUUGAUACUAAAUAUGGUUUGGUUUGGGUGUUAAUAUAUAGUAUGUAUGGUUAUUGAAUGAAUGUGUAAGUAUAUUUUCAACCGACUUCAAAAACAAGAUGCUCAAUUCGGUAGUUUUUUUAUGUUUGUUGCCUCAACUCCGUCAGUUGUAAACUGAUUUGGAAAUUUCAUUUUUAUCUGAAAGGUUAUAUUUACAUAUUAGUUCCAUAGAAAUUUUAUCAAAAUCGGUUCAAUAGAUAAGUUUUUUUAAUCAACCAGUUAGGUUUUGGCACAAUUUAAGUCGGUAUUUUUUAUAUUUUUAAUAAGUUUACUAUUGUAAUCUUUUGGAGGAAACAAUAAAGUCUUUCUUCCUAUUUUUUAACACAAUUUCUUAUAAUUUGUAUUAUAUAGUGUAAGGUAUAAAAAAUAUAACUAAUAGGUAUCUGCAGUGAAAUUUACUUGUACAAAUACAAUAUGGCGGUCUUAUUGUCAUUAGGUAGUUCUUGCUACUCGUGUGCCCGCGAAAGUUCAAGGUAAAUCUUUUCUAGUAGGGGGAAAAGGAUUGUUAGCAAUGGAGUUUGACAGCCCUAUUGCUAGCAAUAUACCUUAUUAGGUCGACCUCCACUAUUAUUUUCCAUUAUUAUCCAUUAAAAAAAAAACAUUUCUAGUAUUUAAUAUUAUAAAUCGAAUCGAAUUGAAAAAGCCCGACCUGGAUUCGUAUGAGUAGAAAAAUAUUCGAAAUAUAUAGACUAUGUAACUCGUUGAUAAUAUACGAGUAGCUUUUUAUAUGUAGGUGAAAGAAUUUUUAAAAUCAGUUUAGUAGUUUUUAAGUUUAUCCAUUACAAACAAGCAGACAAUUAAAUCUUUCCUCUUUAGAUUACGAUUCUGGAACUUUUAAGAAACAAGUCAAGGAGUUCGAUUCUGAAGAUGUUUGAUUCUGACACAUUGAGGUCUGAUUCUGAGGUGCCAUUUCUUUACUCUUAACCUAAGAUUUUAAUUUGAUAAUUUCGCGAUAUUACUAUUUUAUAGUAAUAUAGAAUCUUGAUUAUUCGUAUCAAACAAAACCAGGGAUAUUCCAUAUAAUCGAAAUUCCGGAUAAUUGAUUUUAAAGUCGAAUCAAACAUUACAUAAUUAAAUUUUAAUAUUUUUUAUUAUGUAAAGGAUUUUACUUAUAUUCAUUUAGACAAUAUGAUAUAAAAUAGUUACGAGCUGUAAAAAGAAUAAAUUAUAUAAUAUCUGUUUACUCAAUUAAUACAUAAUACCAUUUCUAAAUCAGUAAUUAGAGCUGCGAAGAAUAAGUCCGGAUAAUCGAAUGUUCGGAUAAUCGAGAUUAUAUUGUACAUUAUUAACCUUGUUUUAAUCUAUAAAAAAAAUGACGCGUAUUGGUCCUUAGAAAAAAGAUUUCGCUGUGAUAUCGAAUUCGUAUUUAAAUAAAGAGAUAGAUAGUAUUUAAAGAAAUGGCAUCUCAGAAUUGACCCCGUUGUAUUAAUACUCCACCAUACGAAUUCAUCUCAAUUUUAGAAUUGAGAUUUGAUGGGAGAGAGAAUUUUAUUAUGGCAAAAUAUAAUACUUCAUUGAAAACGUCAUUGUACGCGUCAAUUCGGUCCGGACGGUCGAAUACCGAGUCUAAAUAAGCAGGGCAAAGAAACACAUCGGUCGACUGGCCAAUGGUAUGUUGAGAGGGCCCCUUUUUGAUUUAUUUAUACUUUACUCCGGCAAAGGGGAACGGUUUCCUGAUUCAAUUAUUGUAAUUGUGCCGACAUAGUAACAACUAGUGUUGUCUUAUAAUCGUUUGGUGUCGAUUACCGUACAAUUUGAUUGAAGCCACAAAUAGUUUUAUAAUCAAUAAUACGAUAUAAAAGAGUAUUUAAAAUAAUUGAUUACCAUCUACUAUUAUAAUUCGUAUUUUAUUAAUUAAUAUUUGUAUAAUGUAGGUAAGUAAUUAAAAUUA
Molecule: long non-coding RNA, 13259 nt
Organism: Galleria mellonella (greater wax moth)
Lineage: Eukaryota; Metazoa; Arthropoda; Insecta; Lepidoptera; Pyralidae
Exons: 3
Source: RefSeq, a predicted model, not a curated record